This is a long non-coding RNA of Ictalurus punctatus (channel catfish), 3647 nucleotides long. Lineage: Eukaryota; Metazoa; Chordata; Actinopteri; Siluriformes; Ictaluridae. The record is from Ensembl.
UAUAUAAAUAUAUCAAUUCGACACAAACACAUUUGUAUUUGUAAUUUUUUUUUUUAAAACACACGAGUCACUGCUGAAACAAAUACCACUCCAGUGAUUGGCACACGCGAGCACCCACACAGGUACGUUGCUAUGAUUUGAAAUCGCAUUGUCGCCCUGGGGAGCCAAUCAGCACGCACGCGAGGCGGAGAGGGGCGUCGCGUUCGGUUUCGAGCACCAAUCGGGUGAGUGCGCGAGGCGGACAGGAGGCGUGGUCAGUAGCUCGGUGCUGUGAUGAUGAAGUGAACAGGAGGGGAGGGAGGGGGGAAAGGGGGGAGAAUCCAAUCCGGUUUUAGCUAGUUUGUGUUUCGAUGGGACGUUAACGUCUUCCUGCGCUGAAACCUGUGUGUCUUUUUAUCGAGCUAACUAAGCACUGUUGUUAGCUAUUUUUAGUCUCUUUGCCUUGCUUACUUUCCCCCUCUUCUUGUAUCUUAUUCCUGGUUUUAUUUUUUAUUUUUGUGUGUGUGUGUGUGUGUGUGUUUUAACACCUCAAAAGCAGCCAUGCCCAAAAGGAGCAAAGUAAGUACUUAUGUGUGAUACUUGGAAUUCUCUUUGAUCUGUCUUUUAAUCGGUGUAAAUGUGCAAAACGUGCCUUAUUGCAUUGCUUUUAAAACAUGCAUUCGAGAGUUAUAUCUCUGUUUUUGCUUUGCUCGCAUUAAGUUUGCAGUGUGCAUUCGUUUUUGUUGCACGUUUAAAAAGAAAAAAUAUAUAUAUACUUAUGUGUUUUGAUUUUGCCACGCGCUUCAUUUCGGUGUGCACGGACUUGGGUUUUCCUUCUUUAACGCGUUGCACGAGCGCGUGCAUUUCUGUUUCAGUUAAGUGCAUGAAGGUGGUUUUGUUUUUUCUGAAGCAGGUUAUUUUCAUGCUCACUGUUUACAAAUGGACGAAGUAGCCCUGGAUACAUGGAGCUAGACAAAGGGGUGUAACUGAGGCGAUCUCUACUUUUCACUUAUUCUUCCCUCUCCAUAACCUCAUAAGCUAAAUGCACGUUUAAAAUAAAUAAAUAAAAUUACAUGCAUUGUAGGUCGUUGUGCUUUUUCGAACGUAUACGAAUCGUUUUGUAUGUGUUUUGGGGUUUUAAAUGCAAAAAAAAAACUCGAUCCUUGUUUUGGAAAACGGUCUUGUAUGGAAAUGCUCCUCCAAGAAAAGCUCAAUGGUCUCUGGUAUGAUCCCUUCGACCGCUUUUUGUUUUUUUUUCCUUUCUUUUUCUCGAAAAACACAUUAAAAAUAAAACAAACGCGUGUGUUUCUCUGGGAGUGAAUUCUACUUGUAUAAAUGUAUUAAUGUGCUUAUAGACGAUACACGUUCGUCGCCAUAGCUGUGAAUUCGUGCAAAUCUGUGGUUGUAAAAAUGGCGAAUCUUGCACACCGCAGCGACUCUUGUCGUUUUUCUGGCCUUUUCCUUUCCUUUAUAACGGCCCCAAACUAUCCGAGUAUGUCCUGGCAACAAUGAAAAGCAAGGGGGGAAAUCAGAAUCGGUAUCAAAACGCCAUUUUAAUCGUAUAUCUUUAAUUAAAUCGUCAACGUUGCUGAAUAGAUUAGUGUGGAAGGGAGGCGGGGUUCAUAGUUCCCUCCUUCUCCCUCGUGCGCACACGGGCAGCCAAUCAGCACACAGCGGCAAGAAAAUGGCGGGCUUUUGAGAUCAACAUUAGUUUUUAUAUAUAUAUGAAGGGGGUGGGGCGGUGUUUGCAGUUUGAGCACCAUUGAGUUGCCAUUAAAGUUCUUGUUUCUAUUCUUCUUUCAAGAAGUAUAACAUCUUGUUUUUCUCCAUUUAAACUGAUUAAAAUUUCUUUGUUUUUCAGGCGAACAAUGACACUGAAGCCAGUGAGGUAAGUUUGUUUUGAAUCGUAAGACGAACGCUGUUUUCACUACUCAAAUUUGUGACGGCACAAAUUCACACGUUCCUUUGAUGUUUUUGUGUGUGUGUGUUUUCAGCCCAAAAGGAGAUCGGCGAGAUUGGUAAACGUAAGUAACCACCCGAUGAGCAAUACACCCAGCACAUUUAGUUUGUACAAAUAACUGUUUUUUUUUUUUGUUUGUGUGUUUUUUUUUUAACCACAAACCGCAUGAUUUUAUUUGAUUUUCAGAAACCGGCACCUCCUAAGGCUGAGCCGAAGCCAAAGGCAAAGGUAAACACACACAAAAAAAUAAACAAGCCUGUCGGUUUGUUUUACUUCCUUGUUAAAGUACUGAGAUUGAUAGUUUAUUAAUCGGUAAUGACAUGUUCUUUGUAGAAGGCACCUGCCAAACCCAAAAAGACUAAGGAGCCCAAGGAAGACAAGCCCAACGACGAGGAGAAGAAAGAGGAAGUCCCUGCUGAGAACGGCGAGGCAAAGGAUGACGAUGAGGCACCAGCAACAGAAGAGACGGAGAAGAAGGACGACGAAGCAGAAUAACGUCUUGUCUCGAACCAGUGCUCCCUGUACCUCUCUUCUUGUACAAUUCAGGGGAAUAUUUUUAUCUACUAUUUUCUAAAGGCAGUUUUUUUAGUAGUUUGAUUGUAGAGACACAUUUUUUAUGAAAGCUACAAUGCGUUUCGAGGGGGAUUUCAUCCCAUCCCACAUUUCUACAUCCAGAACAGUUAUUGUCUGUCAGUUCCUCUUUUCAAAGUGGGAAGGAGUUACGCCAUUGGUGCGCGCACACACAAACACAUUGCGCAUGGCGAUUACAAAGACAGUCGGACAACUUGCCCAAAUGACUAACAUUCCAUUGGCUCAAUGAGGGAUUUUUUUGUUGUUGUUGUUGUUGUUUGAAUGUGUGUAACCUGUUAUGUAUGCGUGCGUGGCGGGGAGGGGUGCGAAUCACUCAUCGUUUUCUUGUUUAUAAUGAGGCAGAUUACUUAGAACGUUUGUAAGCUGUGUACUGUAUGUUAAUUCUUGUACCGAUUCUGCUUAAUAAACCUACUUUGUAGUACUGGAGCUCUCCAUGUCAGGCCUGUGUAUCAUCACGUGUUUCGUUGUCUUUCCUGUGAUAGCACCACAAUAGAUCUAUAUAGCAGCUGUGAAACGAUCUUUGACUUUAUACGCAGCGUGUAAUGGUACCUUGUCCAGAUGUGGUCAAGACUGAAUCCUUGGCAAAGCUAAAAAUGCAUCGGCGUGUUAAAGCUUGGCCACCUUUUCAGGCCGGGUCUAAUGAUCGAGUGUAAGAUCUGGCAAAACUGUACAGCACUAGUACCAGCAGUAGCAAUAUACAUGUGCAACUACAAAUGUACAGUUUCUUUCAGCUCAUUGUUUAUAGAUGUAUCUCUGUGUAUUGUUUGAUUAAAGCGAGCCAAUAAAAAUUGUUUGUGAGACCUGUUUCUCCCGCUUUUAUGUUCAUCCACUUUGGGUUCACAACUACGUUAUUCAGUGUAUAAUGAUUCGAUUCAGCGCCGCCUCGCUAGUAUAUGAUACACACCUGUAAUACUUCUAUAUGUAACGUAAAAGACUAGUAAAAGUUAAUAUUACAGUUACUUGAUCGUAACUAGUUUAACAUCAUGUUGGUUCACGGCAUCGUGUCUAAAGCUUUAACUUUUUUAAAAAAAUAACAGCUUAAAAGUUCAAAUCCCAGGACUGAGAGAGCCCAUUGCUUAACCCUCAUUUGUUUACAUGCUUGUAGACUUCAUUUUUC